GACGAACGCUGCCGGCGUGCUUAACACAUGCAAGUCGAACGGAAAGGCCCUGCUUUUGUGGGGUGCUCGAGUGGCGAACGGGUGAGUAACACGUGAGUAACCUGCCCUUGACUUUGGGAUAACUUCAGGAAACUGGGGCUAAUACCGGAUAGGAGCUCCUGCUGCAUGGUGGGGGUUGGAAAGUUUCGGCGGUUGGGGAUGGACUCGCGGCUUAUCAGCUUGUUGGUGGGGUAGUGGCUUACCAAGGCUUUGACGGGUAGCCGGCCUGAGAGGGUGACCGGCCACAUUGGGACUGAGAUACGGCCCAGACUCCUACGGGAGGCAGCAGUGGGGAAUAUUGCACAAUGGGCGGAAGCCUGAUGCAGCAACGCCGCGUGCGGGAUGACGGCCUUCGGGUUGUAAACCGCUUUCGCCUGUGACGAAGCGUGAGUGACGGUAAUGGGUAAAGAAGCACCGGCUAACUACGUGCCAGCAGCCGCGGUGAUACGUAGGGUGCGAGCGUUGUCCGGAUUUAUUGGGCGUAAAGGGCUCGUAGGUGGUUGAUCGCGUCGGAAGUGUAAUCUUGGGGCUUAACCCUGAGCGUGCUUUCGAUACGGGUUGACUUGAGGAAGGUAGGGGAGAAUGGAAUUCCUGGUGGAGCGGUGGAAUGCGCAGAUAUCAGGAGGAACACCAGUGGCGAAGGCGGGUCUCUGGGCCUUUCCUGACGCUGAGGAGCGAAAGCGUGGGGAGCGAACAGGCUUAGAUACCCUGGUAGUCCACGCUGUAAACGGUGGGUACUAGGUGUGGGGUCCAUUCCACGGGUUCCGUGCCGUAGCUAACGCUUUAAGUACCCCGCCUGGGGAGUACGGCCGCAAGGCUAAAACUCAAAGGAAUUGACGGGGCCCCGCACAAGCGGCGGAGCAUGCGGAUUAAUUCGAUGCAACGCGUAGAACCUUACCUGGGUUUGACAUGGAUCGGGAGUGCUCAGAGAUGGGUGUGCCUCUUUUGGGGUCGGUUCACAGGUGGUGCAUGGCUGUCGUCAGCUCGUGUCGUGAGAUGUUGGGUUAAGUCCCGCAACGAGCGCAACCCUUGUUCACUGUUGCCAGCACGUUAUGGUGGGGACUCAGUGGAGACCGCCGGGGUCAACUCGGAGGAAGGUGGGGAUGACGUCAAGUCAUCAUGCCCCUUAUGUCCAGGGCUUCACGCAUGCUACAAUGGCUGGUACAGAGGGUGGCGAGCCUGUGAGGGUGAGCGAAUCUCGGAAAGCCGGUCUCAGUUCGGAUUGGGGUCUGCAACUCGACCUCAUGAAGUCGGAGUCGCUAGUAAUCGCAGAUCAGCAACGCUGCGGUGAAUACGUUCCCGGG
This 1343-nucleotide ribosomal RNA is filed under the name uncultured bacterium. RNAcentral describes it as "16S ribosomal RNA". It matches the Rfam family "Bacterial small subunit ribosomal RNA", at positions 28 to 1378 of the family's 1533-position model. The record is from RNAcentral.